Molecule: long non-coding RNA, 290 nt
Organism: Suricata suricatta (meerkat)
Lineage: Eukaryota; Metazoa; Chordata; Mammalia; Carnivora; Herpestidae
Exons: 2
Source: RefSeq, a predicted model, not a curated record
GUGAGCAGAACACAGGCUAGGGAAAUGAACAGUGAAGGUUCUCCCAGAGAAGUUUCUAAGAAGUCAGCCUACUGGGCAGCAUAUAAGGAGAGGUCCUACAACACAGGGCUCAGGGACCCUGGCCAAAUCUAGAAUUUUUUGGAAGCUGGGAAUAUGCAGGUCCAAUCCUAUUACCAUAAAUACCAACCAAUUCAAGAAAAUCUGUCUAAUUAAAAGAUUCCCAGGGUUCAGCUGCUGACCUACUUAUUUCAAGAUGACUCAACAUAAUAAAUGUCAACUAAGAAAUACAA